RNAcentral lists this ribosomal RNA (506 nucleotides) under uncultured Glomeromycotina. RNAcentral's name for it is "partial small subunit ribosomal RNA". It matches the Rfam family "Eukaryotic small subunit ribosomal RNA", at positions 591 to 1091 of the family's 1831-position model. Lineage: Eukaryota; Fungi; Glomeromycota. The record is from RNAcentral.
CCAAUAGCGUAUAUUAAAGUUGUUGCAGUUAAAAAGCUCGUAGUUGAAUUUCGGGAUUGGCGCAUCGGUCGUGCCUCACGGGGUAUGAACUGGUGCAGUCAAUUUCUCACCUUCUGGAGAACCGCGAUGUCCUUAAUUGGAUGCCGCGGGGAACCAGGACCUUUACUUUGAAAAAAUUAGAGUGUUUAAAGCAGGCAUUUUUGCUUGAAUACAUUAGCAUGGAAUAAUAAAAUAGGACGGCAUGGUUCUAUUUUGUUGGUUUCUAGGACCACCGUAAUGAUUAAUAGGGAUAGUUGGGGGCAUUAGUAUUCAAUUGUCAGAGGUGAAAUUCUUGGAUUUAUUGAAGACUAACUACUGCGAAAGCAUUUGCCAAGGAUGUUUUCAUUAAUCAAGAACGAAAGUUAGGGGAUCGAAGACGAUCGGAUACCGUCGUAGUCUUAACCAUAAACUAUGCCGACUAGGAAUCAGACGAUGUUAAUUUUUUAAUGACUCGUUUGGCACCUUAC